Molecule: long non-coding RNA, 212 nt
Organism: Gorilla gorilla gorilla (western lowland gorilla)
Lineage: Eukaryota; Metazoa; Chordata; Mammalia; Primates; Hominidae
Exons: 3
Source: RefSeq, a predicted model, not a curated record
UCCAACUGUUUGACAGAUGAGGACAUUAAUGCUGAGUGAACUGACUUGGCCGAGGUCCUGGUUCUUAAAGACAAGAAAGCUUCUGAAGACAGCCUUCAACACAGGAAGCCUGAUGUAAGAUGCUUAUGUGGCACACAGAAUAUAAAAAGUUUUUACGCUUCUCAACAUGUGGAACUCACUGCCACCAUACUGCCUCAUGUUCCAUGUAAGAG